RNAcentral lists this long non-coding RNA (305 nucleotides) under Neogale vison (American mink). RNAcentral describes it as "Neovison vison (American mink) lncRNA (ENSNVIG00000013229.1)". Lineage: Eukaryota; Metazoa; Chordata; Mammalia; Carnivora; Mustelidae. The record is from RNAcentral.
CGCUAGAGGGACUGACUAGGAGAAGCCAGUGUUGCCCAGGGUUGGUGUGCUGAAGACCCCCCCCAAUGCAGUUACAGUUGGUAAGAGGCAGCCCUGCACAGAGAGGAUGGGGACAACCCAAGAUGGACCUUUGCUGUAAAUGUGUGCCUCAUGUCCAGAGGUUUAAACCCUCCUGACUCUUCUAGAGAGGAGACAAGAGAACUCAGGGUUCCCAGUUGGUGCGUGUUGGCUGCUCUAUCCACUGACCACAUUCUGAUCCUGACUAUCACUAAACCAAGUCUGUUUUUGAAGAUGGUACGCAUGUG